UUUCCGUAGGUGAAACUGCGGAAGGAUCAUUAUUGUAUAACCGAGGUGCGAGGGCUGUCGCUGACCCGAAAGGUCGUGCACGCCCGAGUGCCCUCACACACAUCCAUCUCACCCCUAUGUGCACCACCGCGUGGGUCCCCCUUUGGCUUGUUCGGAGGGGGGCUUACGUUUUCACACAAACUUUGUAUGCAGUGUAGAAUGUAUUUUUUGUUUUUGCGAUCACGCAAUCAAUACAACUUUCAACAACGGAUCUCUUGGCUCUC
RNAcentral lists this unclassified non-coding RNA (263 nucleotides) under plant metagenome. RNAcentral describes it as "partial contains small subunit ribosomal RNA, internal transcribed spacer 1, and 5.8S ribosomal RNA". The record is from RNAcentral.